UGCGACUCCUUGCUUAUGAACCUGAUGGCCAUUCAAAUCAGAAGCGUAAAUUCCCGGAGGGUAGAAUCAUAGGACUAGAAAGAAUGCAGGUUCAGCCACAACAGGCAAUUAUGCAAAAUUAUUAUAUGUUCAACAACAAUGCUGCAACCAAUCCAUUCUGCAUGGACAAAACAAACCAAUCCAUGCACACCAAGAAAGGAUCCAUGUAUCAUCAUCAGGUAUGUCGAGUAAAUUUUUUUAAUUCUAUCGAAAAGAGAUGUAACUUUAGGCGAAUAUUGGCCGAUUUGAUCGGUGCCAGUGAGCAUUACAGCUUUGACACACGGGAUAAUCAAGGACCUGUCUGGAUAUGGAUGAUUACCAGGAUUUAAGAACUGUAUAGAAAUACUGCCUUAUCUAAACAGAUUAUUUUGUUUUAAUAACUGAAUGAGCCGAUAACUGAUAGUAUAUUCCCAACCGAAUGCACAAACUGACUAAUAUAGACAAGUGCAUGGUCACAAAAAUGAAAGAAAAAAAAAGAGAGAAAACAAUACCUUUGUACAGCUCCUUGUUGAA
RNAcentral lists this unclassified non-coding RNA (552 nucleotides) under Zea mays. RNAcentral's name for it is "misc RNA Zm00001eb142550". The record is from RNAcentral. Lineage: Eukaryota; Viridiplantae; Streptophyta; Magnoliopsida; Poales; Poaceae.